AUGCCUUAAACUUAUGAGUAAGGAAAAUAAUGACUCAGGGUGAUGCCCAAAUUCUCACUAAUGUGAGAUGAAUUUUUGAACCACUAAAGGACAUUCCUAAGGUGAAUAGCCAACUACUUUGUGAGGUACCCAUCGCCCCUAAAAAUAUUAGGGG
This is a small nuclear RNA of Dipodomys spectabilis (banner-tailed kangaroo rat), 154 nucleotides long. RefSeq annotates it as U12 minor spliceosomal RNA. The transcript has a single exon. NCBI's taxonomy places the organism in Eukaryota, Metazoa, Chordata, Mammalia, Rodentia, Heteromyidae. The record is from RefSeq and is a predicted model, not a curated record.